This 253-nucleotide ribosomal RNA is filed under the name uncultured bacterium. RNAcentral describes it as "partial 16S ribosomal RNA". It matches the Rfam family "Bacterial small subunit ribosomal RNA", at positions 524 to 776 of the family's 1533-position model. The record is from RNAcentral.
UACGUAGGGGGCUAGCGUUGUCCGGAAUCAUUGGGCGUAAAGAGCGUGUAGGCGGCCCGGUAAGUCCGCUGUGAAAGUCGGGGGCUCAACCCUCGGAUGCCGGUGGAUACUGUCGGGCUCGAGUACGGAAGAGGCGAGUGGAAUUCCCGGUGUAGUGGUGGAAUGCGUAGAUAUCGGGAGGAACACCAGUGGCGAAGGCGGCUUCCUGGACCAGAGCUGACACUGAGGCGCGAAAGCGUGGGGAGCAAUCCGG